AAAGCUAUUUACUUACCAAUCUAUAACUAAUUUCAUAAACAACAAAUCGAAUAAAAUCUGAGCAGGCGCGUCAAUAAAAUUUGAAAGUUAUUAGUGAUAAAUGAUAAUAU
Molecule: small RNA, 110 nt
Filed under: Arabidopsis thaliana (thale cress)
Lineage: Eukaryota; Viridiplantae; Streptophyta; Magnoliopsida; Brassicales; Brassicaceae
Description: ATSL237490
Source: RNAcentral